This 656-nucleotide ribosomal RNA is filed under the name Microbacteriaceae bacterium. RNAcentral describes it as "bacterial SSU rRNA". It matches the Rfam family "Bacterial small subunit ribosomal RNA", at positions 188 to 853 of the family's 1533-position model. The record is from RNAcentral. Lineage: Bacteria; Bacillati; Actinomycetota; Actinomycetes; Micrococcales; Microbacteriaceae.
GCAUCGUCUGUGGGUGGAAAGAUUUUUUGGUUGAGGAUGGACUCGCGGCCUAUCAGCUUGUUGGUGGGGUAAUGGCUCACCAAGGCGACGACGGGUAGCCGGCCUGAGAGGGUGACCGGCCACACUGGGACUGAGACACGGCCCAGACUCCUACGGGAGGCAGCAGUGGGGAAUAUUGCACAAUGGGCGAAAGCCUGAUGCAGCAACGCCGCGUGGGGGAUGACGGCCUUCGGGUUGUAAACCUCUUUUAGUAAGGAAGAAGCCGCAAGGUGACGGUACUUGCAGAAAAAGCACCGGCUAACUACGUGCCAGCAGCCGCGGUAAUACGUAGGGUGCAAGCGUUGUCCGGAAUUAUUGGGCGUAAAGAGCUCGUAGGCGGUUUGUCGCGUCUGCUGUGAAAACUGGAGGCUCAACCUCCAGCCUGCAGUGGGUACGGGCAGACUAGAGUGCGGUAGGGGAGAUUGGAAUUCCUGGUGUAGCGGUGGAAUGCGCAGAUAUCAGGAGGAACACCGAUGGCGAAGGCAGAUCUCUGGGCCGUAACUGACGCUGAGGAGCGAAAGCGUGGGGAGCGAACAGGAUUAGAUACCCUGGUAGUCCACGCCGUAAACGUUGGGAACUAGAUGUGGGGGCCAUUCCACGGUCUCCGUGUCGCAGCU